This 305-nucleotide long non-coding RNA is filed under the name Physcomitrium patens. RNAcentral's name for it is "long non-coding RNA (PPAT_LNC010016)". Lineage: Eukaryota; Viridiplantae; Streptophyta; Bryopsida; Funariales; Funariaceae. The record is from RNAcentral.
AAUCAAAUCUUAAUUAAAAUCCUAAUUAAAAUCGUAAUGAACCUUAAUCAAAUUCUAACUAAAAUUCUAAUGGAUCUUAACCAAAUCCUACUUCAAAUCCUAAUAAUAUCCUAAAUCCUAAAUCAAUCAUAAUAAAAUACUAAACUUUAGAUUAAUCCUAAUGAAUCCUGAUAGAAUCCUAUUAUAAUCCUACAUCAUAUAUCAACUCUAAUGAAAUCCUAGACAAACCUAAUCAAAUCUUAAUCAAUUUUUAGUCAUAUUCUAAUUAAAUCAUAAUUCAAUUCUAAUCUAAUCCUAGUUAAAUC